Molecule: unclassified non-coding RNA, 2541 nt
Filed under: Rhagoletis pomonella (apple maggot)
Lineage: Eukaryota; Metazoa; Arthropoda; Insecta; Diptera; Tephritidae
Description: carnitine O-acetyltransferase, transcript variant X6
Source: RNAcentral
AUAUUAGAGGAUUCCGCUCAUUUACUUCUUUAUUGAUAAGAGAUAUUGGCCAAACCUCGCAUUCACGUAAACAAGUUUUGUUUUUGAAAUUCAGACGAGUUUGUGAAGCGACGAAAAGUGUUUGCUCAACCACUGCUACCAAGCAGCGUACACAAACUAGUUUAAAGGUUUUGACUACGUGGUACGCCACUUUGAUUAAAUUAACCAAUCUUAUAAAAGUGUUUAAUUCGCCUACGUUCUAACACAUUUUAGUUGCUAAUCUCAAUUCUAUUAACUCUCGGUACACCUGUGAUUAUGCACAAAAGGCAAAGCUUCAAAAGCAAUCCGGACUGGGCACAACAAUUUACCACCGACCAAGUUAACAAAAUGCAGUUUAUCGCGCGACGUGUCGCUAUGAAUUUAACUAAAACCGUAUUGGCGUCGUCGUUGAAGACUCCGCUGCCCAGUAUUGCCGCUGCCGUCCAAAAAAGUUUACCCGACGCCCGUUUUUACUCCAUUUCUGAAGGCCCACAAAAACAAAAUCUGUUACGUUAUCCAGCAUUUCCACUAAAAGAUACCUUGGAAACAUUUUUAAAAACCGUCGAGCCGGUGAUCAAUGCUUGCGAACUUGUUGAAACUAAGGAAGCAAUCAAGAAGUUUGAGGCCGGUGAAGGCGCUGAAUUGCAAAAGCUGUUAGAAAAGGCAGCGAUAUGCGAAGAAAAUUGGUUAGCUAAGCGCUGGUUACGUGCAGCUUAUCUGCAAUACCGCGCGCCAGUUACCGUUUUUGUUAGCCCAGGCAUGACAUUUCCACCACAACGUUUUGAAAAUGAUGAAGACUUUCUAAAUUAUGCCGGCAAGGUUGUUUAUAGCAUGGCACGCUAUAAGCAAAUUAUUGAUGCCGGUGAAAUUCCUGUUUUGAAAAUGGGCAAGUAUGAGCUAGACAAUUCGCAAUUCGGCAAAGUUUAUGGCACGUGUCGUAUACCACAGAAGGUCGAAGAUGCACUGGAAUACAAUCCUAAAUCACUGCAUGUAGUGGUGUUGUACAAAAAUCAUUUUUACAAAGUACAAAUCUACAAUAAUAAUGGCGUGGCCUUGCAUCCGGAUAUAUUGGUGAAACAAUUCAAGACCAUUAUGGAAGCUGAAGCUAAAAAGGGUGUGGAAAUUGGCGUUUUAUCCACUGAUAACCGCGAUAAUUGGGCGCAAGCUUAUGAAGAGCUCCUGAAAAUCGAUGGUAACAAGGAACUGGUGAAAACUAUACAAAGUGCCUUAUUUACAGUAUCUUUGGAUGAGUGUUUCGAUGUUGCAGAUGACCAAUUUUUCAAUGAGUUAAGUGGCCAGUUAAUACAUGGCGGUGGAGUAAAGUUAAAUAGCGCCAAUCGUUGGAUGGAUAAAACAAUACAACUAAUACUGAAUCGCAAUGGCAUGAGCGGAUUUUGUUAUGAACACUCACCGGCUGAAGGUCAACCAAUUGCCAACAUCACCGACUAUGUAACCAACAAUUUAUGCAAUGAAAAACACUACGAACAGAGCGCUCGUGAUAACUAUCCUUGCCCCGAAAAGCUUAAAUUAAAAGCCAAUAAAACCUUGAAUCAGUAUAUUGAAAAAUCUAAGAAGAACCUCAAUGAAUUGGCGGAAAAUUUGCACGUAAAUGUUUUGCAUUUCAAGGACUAUGGCAAGGGUUUCUUGAAGAAACAAAAGCACAGCCCAGAUAGCUACAUACAAAUUGCACUACAAUAUGCUUACUACAAGCUACAUAAAGUACCAGCCGCUCAGUAUGAGUCUGCACAUUUGCGUAUUUAUAUAUACGGACGCACUGAGACCAUACGCUCGUGUUCCAAUGAAUCAUUGGCAUUCGCCAAAGCAAUGGAAGACGCUUGCGUUGAGCCAGAGGAACGUGUCGAGCUAUUGCGUACCGCUAUAAAUGCACAUCGUGCAUACACGACAGCAGCAUUACAAGGCAGAGGUGUUGAUCGACAUUUGUUGGGAUUAAAACUCAUGGCUAUUGAGAAUAAUAAACCAAUACCAGAAUUCUUUAACUCGCCUGGUUAUGUAAAGAGUUUAGUCUUUCGUGUAUCUACUUCACAAGUGGCCACACCCAAUCUUGGAUUCAUGGUGUACGGCCCAGCUGCAGACGAUGGUUACGCAUGUUGUUAUAAUCCACGCGAAAAUGAUAUAAUCUUGGCAUGCACCUGUUGGCGUGAUAAUCACACUUCAAACGUGGAUACGUUUGUGUGUACAUUGCGUGAAGCAUUGCUAGAAAUGCAACAACUAUUAGUGGGCUAUGGAAAAGCACCAGCCGCGAAGUUGUAAUGAGUGAUGAGAGAAGUAAAUUCUGAACUGGCAGUGAGAAAUGCGCUGCGCUCGAGGUUUUUUGUUUUGCAAAUAUUAAGUGCCUUCAAGUUUUUUUUUUACAAAUUUUUAUUGAAACCAUUUUCACGCAAAUAAAAAUUCAUUGUGCAACAACAAACUGGAUUUUAUAGCGCAAUUCACCGGCUUCAAUUCAACAUCAUCACCAGAGAAAAGUGACGAGAAUCGGUCAGUAUACAUACCAGGCAUGAGUGG